CUCCUGAUGGUCUAGUUGGUUUAUGACAUUCGGCUGUAAACCGAAGGGUCCCUAGUUCGAUUCUGGGUCAGGAGA
Molecule: transfer RNA, 75 nt
Filed under: Nannizzia gypsea CBS 118893
Lineage: Eukaryota; Fungi; Ascomycota; Eurotiomycetes; Onygenales; Arthrodermataceae
Also listed under: 8 other names
Description: tRNA-Tyr (GTA) (tRNA-Tyr-GTA-2-1)
Rfam family: tRNA
About the family: Transfer RNA (tRNA) molecules are approximately 80 nucleotides in length. Their secondary structure includes four short double-helical elements and three loops (D, anti-codon, and T loops).
Source: RNAcentral